UCGGCUUCUCGGCCCCUUUUGGCUAAGAUCAGAGUCUUAGUAUCUGUUCUUAUCAGUUUAAUAUCUGAUAUGUUCUCCAAUGUGAGGACUAUAUAUUAAAUGGAUUUUUAGCACCGGGAGCUGAAAGAGGGGCUUGCUCCUUUCACUCCACGCAUCGACCUGGCACUGCAGUGCCGCCAGGAACGGUGCACCCUUC
Molecule: small nuclear RNA, 196 nt
Filed under: Amphiprion ocellaris (clown anemonefish)
Lineage: Eukaryota; Metazoa; Chordata; Actinopteri; Pomacentridae
Description: U2 spliceosomal RNA
Rfam family: U2 spliceosomal RNA
About the family: U2 is a small nuclear RNA (snRNA) component of the spliceosome (involved in pre-mRNA splicing). Complementary binding between U2 snRNA (in an area lying towards the 5' end but 3' to hairpin I) and the branchpoint sequence (BPS) of the intron results the bulging out of an unpaired adenosine, on the BPS, which initiates a nucleophilic attack at the intronic 5' splice site, thus starting the first of two transesterification reactions that mediate splicing.
Source: Rfam by way of RNAcentral